Molecule: ribosomal RNA, 478 nt
Filed under: uncultured bacterium
Lineage: Bacteria
Description: partial 16S ribosomal RNA
Rfam family: Bacterial small subunit ribosomal RNA
Source: RNAcentral
GACGAACGCUGGCGGCGUGCUUAACACAUGCAAGUCGAACGGUAAGGCCCUUCGGGGUACACGAGUGGCGAACGGGUGAGUAACACGUGGGUGAUCUGCCCUGCACUUCGGGAUAAGCCUGGGAAACUGGGUCUAUUACCGGAUAGGACUCCUGGCUUCAUGGUUGGGGGUGGAAAGCUUUUGCGGUGUGGGAUGGGCCCGCGGCCUAUCAGCUUGUUGGUGGGGUAAUGGCCUACCAAGGCGACGACGGGUAGCCGGCCUGAGAGGGUGACCGGUCACACUGGGACGGGGAUACGGCCCAGACUCCUACGGGAGGCAGCAGGGGGGAAUAUUGCACAAUGGGCGCAAGCCUGAUGCAGCGACGCCGCGUGAGGGAUGACGGCCUUCGGGUUGUAAACCUCUUUCAGCUAUGACGAAGCGCAAGUGACGGUAGUAGCAGAAGAAGGACCGGCCAACUACGUGCCAGCCGCCGCUGUAA